UGUUUUAGUUGCAAGAAGCACAAGAUCGAUAUAUGGAGGCCGUGAAAUGUACUGAGAAGAUGCAGGAUCAAAUGCAAAAGUAAGAUUUAAAGCAGCACAGAGAAUAAGUAGGGAUUAAGUAUGAAGCACAUAAGCAGUACAGUGUAAGAAUUAUAUCAGGAAAGAUGACAAAUAAGACAUCAUUGGGGAGCCGGGUAAAAAUUUCAGUUUUGGGGUGUUGUGAAAUGUUUUUUCCCCAUUAUUUCUAAAUUUCUCUCAUUAUCCGCAAAACCCUACUAGAAAAACAACAAAAUGGCCAAAACAUCUACCUUUCAAAAAUUUCAGAAUUUAUGUAAUGGAACCUGUGGAUGUUCGUGUACAAUUGGUGUGGUUGUCUUAACAAUCUAUGUGUGAGAAUAAUUAUUUUGAAAUACACAUUUUAGGCUUGAAAAGGAAAAUGCCGAGUUAAAAGGUACAAACAAAAUGCAAGCGGGCACAAUUGAAGAGCUUCAGAAAAACCUGCUGAGUCUAAGUUCGUGUCCUUCUGAGAGUCUUUCACAGAAGUACGUUGAUCAUUUUUCUGGAGCUUCAGGUCAAAGAGGUAAAAAUAGAGUAAAUGGAGAAGUAGAAGGUAAGAAUGUUAUUUUUUUAAAAAGUCAAUGUACAUAUAUGAUGAUAAAACAGGAAUUCUGACAUAUUCCUUUUUUUUUCCAAACAUUAUUCUGUGUUGGUCAUUUAUGACUUCCUUGCUUUAGUAAUUAAUUAAUUUUUAUUUAUUUGGAUUUUUUAAUUUCCCCAGUACCUUAUUUUUUUUCUACUGUACAUCAUGGUGACCUAGUUACACAUAUAUGUGUACAUGCUUUUUUCUCACAUUAUCAUGCCCCAUCAUGGGUGACUAGACGUAGUUCCCAGUGCUACACAGCAGCAUCUCAUUGCUAAUCCAUUCCAAGGCAAUAGUCGGUAUCUAUUAACCCCAAGCUCCCAAUCCAUCCCACUCCCUCCCCCUCCCACUUGGCAAAUACACACACACAUACAAGUCUAUUCUCCAAGUCCAUGAUUUUCUUUUCUAUGGAAAAGUUCAUUCGUGCCAUAUGUUAGAUUCCAAAUAUAAGUGAUAUCAUAUGGUAUUUGUCUUUCUUUUUCUGAGUAACUUCACUCAGUUUGAGAGUCUCUAGUUCCAUCCAUGUUGCUGCAAAUGGCAUUAUUUUGGUCUUUCUUAUGGCUGAGUAGUAUUCCAGUGUGUAUAUACAC
Molecule: long non-coding RNA, 1230 nt
Filed under: Sus scrofa (pig)
Lineage: Eukaryota; Metazoa; Chordata; Mammalia; Artiodactyla; Suidae
Description: lncRNA (ENSSSCG00060020455.1)
Source: RNAcentral